AAGUCAACUUGACUGAAGGAGCAAUCUGACAGUAGAGUGGCGCAAGGGUGCGUAACGCGUAAGUAACUUGCCCAAGGUAAGGAAUAACGUCGAGAAAUCGGCGCUAAUACCUCAUAAUGCAGCGGAUCCGCAUGGAUAUGUUGUUAAAGGUUUACCGCCUUGGGAUAGGCUUGCGUCUGAUUAGCUAGUUGGUGUGGUAACGGCACACCAAGGCCACGAUCAGUAACUGGUCUGAGAGGAUGAUCAGUCACACUGGAACUGAGACACGGUCCAGUCUCCUACGGGAGGCAGCAGUGAGGAAUAUUGGGCAAUGCUCGAAAGAGUGACCCAGCAACGCCGCGUGGAGGAUGAAGGUAUUCUAUAUCGUAAACUCCUGUGAGAGCAGACGAAAGACAGAUUAUUAAUCUGGAUGACUGUAUGCUCAGAGGAAGCCCCGGCUAACUACGUG
This 448-nucleotide ribosomal RNA is filed under the name uncultured bacterium. Its description in RNAcentral is "bacterial SSU rRNA". It matches the Rfam family "Bacterial small subunit ribosomal RNA", at positions 59 to 507 of the family's 1533-position model. The record is from RNAcentral.